AACGUAGGAGGCGAGCGUUAUCCGGAUUCACUGGGCGUAAAGCGCGUGUAGGUGGUUCGUUAAGUUGAAUGUGAAAGCCCCUGGCUCAACUGGGGGAGGCCGUUCAAAACUGGCGGACUUGAGGACAGGAGAGGAGGGUGGAAUUCCCGGUGUAGCGGUGGAAUGCGUAGAGAUCGGGAGGAACACCAGUGGCGAAGGCGGCUCUCUGGUCUGUUUCUGACACUGAGACGCGAAAGCGUGGGUAGCAAACGGG
This 253-nucleotide ribosomal RNA is filed under the name uncultured bacterium. Its description in RNAcentral is "partial 16S ribosomal RNA". It matches the Rfam family "Bacterial small subunit ribosomal RNA", at positions 524 to 776 of the family's 1533-position model. The record is from RNAcentral.